GGAUUAGUUGUAGGGCGUCUCUCCAUUGGCAGGCAAUGAUGAUUUUGUCUUCUUUAUAUAAGUUAUGACCCGCCAAAGGAGAGUUGCCCUUCGAUUGCUUC
RNAcentral lists this microRNA precursor (101 nucleotides) under Prunus dulcis (almond). Its description in RNAcentral is "sRNA ncRNA". The record is from RNAcentral. Lineage: Eukaryota; Viridiplantae; Streptophyta; Magnoliopsida; Rosales; Rosaceae.